Molecule: long non-coding RNA, 619 nt
Organism: Portunus trituberculatus (swimming crab)
Lineage: Eukaryota; Metazoa; Arthropoda; Malacostraca; Decapoda; Portunidae
Exons: 2
Source: RefSeq, a predicted model, not a curated record
CUUCCCGCUUCCCCUCCUUUCUUUUUUUAUCCGCUUCCUUCGCCUCCCUUUCCAACCAGUAGCUGUCAAUAGCCACAGGGUCUCGCCAAAUCCUGCCAUAGACAGCCAUGAGUCAACGGAGGGGCAGCUAGUGUCUCCCUCCUCUCUUCAAUGUGAUGAUGUCUUUAUACUCGCUUCUCCCAGUAACUCUGAAUGGCCACUCGUCCUCAGCGUUGCUCCGGAGAGGCAGUGCACGUGGGGGUCCAUUCACCAUGAGUGGAUGAGGCUACUCUGUGACCUAAAGGACCAUUCUGAAACACUUCUGCUCCGCACCUACUCUACAUUCAGAAAGGAAUGAUAACAAUAAGGAUGACGACGACGAUAACGAGGCUGACGAUGAUGACAGCGAUGUAUACGGCGGCAGUGAGAGAUACCAGAUGUUGAUAAGGACGAGGACAGCACUGUGAUAAGAACUCACUUUUUUCUCUCUUUUUUUUUCGGUACAUUUAAUAUAUUGAGUUUAAAAGCCUCGCGAUGACUCACUCUCCUUAUCUCUGAGUGUUACAUAAAGCUUAUCUCUCCCCGCCAUGCUCCGCCAGGCUGAUUACAAAAGGGAAUAUAUUAAAACGACAAAAAAUAA